GAAUGCUGACAUAAGUAACGAUAAAGCGGGUGAAAAGCCCGCUCGCCGGAAGACCAAGGGUUCCUGUCCAACGUUAAUCGGGGCAGGGUGAGUCGACCCCUAAGGCGAGGCCGAAAGGCGUAGUCGAUGGGAAACGGGUUAAUAUUCCCGUACUUGGUGUUACUGCGAAGGGGGGACGGAGAAGGCUAUGUUGGCCGGGCGACGGUUGUCCCGGUUUAAGCGUGUAGGUGUGUGUUCCAGGUAAAUCCGGUUCACUUUAACACUGAGGCGUGAUGACGAGGCACUACGGUGCUGAAGCAACAAAUGCCCUGCUUCCAGGAAAAGCCUCUAAGCAUCAGGUAACAUCAAAUCGUACCCCAAACCGACACAGGUGGUCAGGUAGAGAAUACCAAGGCGCUUGAGAGAACUCGGGUGAAGGAACUAGGCAAAAUGGUGCCGUAACUUCGGGAGAAGGCACGCUGACAUGUAGGUGAAGUGAUUUACUCAUGGAGCUGAAGUCAGUCGAAGAUACCAGCUGGCUGCAACUGUUUAUUAAAAACACAGCACUGUGCAAACACGAAAGUGGACGUAUACGGUGUGACGCCUGCCCGGUGCCGGAAGGUUAAUUGAUGGGGUCAGCGCAAGCGAAGCUCCUGAUCGAAGCCCCGGUAAACG
This 654-nucleotide ribosomal RNA is filed under the name Salmonella enterica subsp. enterica. RNAcentral describes it as "partial 23S ribosomal RNA". It matches the Rfam family "Bacterial large subunit ribosomal RNA", at positions 1292 to 1929 of the family's 2925-position model. The record is from RNAcentral. Lineage: Bacteria; Pseudomonadati; Pseudomonadota; Gammaproteobacteria; Enterobacterales; Enterobacteriaceae.